CAGAAGAUAAUACUCAUCCCAAAAUAUUCAAAUUUUAACUGUUCGUAUUAUUUAAUUUUUUUUAUGAUUAGUAUUUUUAUUGUUAUUAGAUAAUAAAACAUGAAAAGUACUCUAUGUGUGACUACUUUUUUUUUAUUUUUUUCAUAAAUUUUUUAAAUAAGACAUACGAUCAAACGUUAGACACGAAUAUUUACGACUGCACUUAUU
RNAcentral lists this microRNA precursor (207 nucleotides) under Oryza barthii. Its description in RNAcentral is "MIR812 microRNA precursor family". The stretch from base 28 to 207 matches the Rfam family "MIR812 microRNA precursor family", at positions 27 to 205 of the family's 205-position model. The record is from Rfam by way of RNAcentral. Lineage: Eukaryota; Viridiplantae; Streptophyta; Magnoliopsida; Poales; Poaceae.